RNAcentral lists this long non-coding RNA (2456 nucleotides) under Hordeum vulgare. RNAcentral's name for it is "long non-coding RNA (HVUL_LNC010104)". Lineage: Eukaryota; Viridiplantae; Streptophyta; Magnoliopsida; Poales; Poaceae. The record is from RNAcentral.
GCAUGUUUACGUCAGGAUAAAAUGUUGUCAAAAUUAUUCAUCUAGUUCAAUUAAGUUCUAUGAUGUAUAAAGUAUGUACUUGGCAAGAAAAAUACAAGGGGUUACCUGGAUAUAUGAUGCUGCAGUACACAUAUAUUUAUCUAACUAAAAUUAAGCCCACCACUUCCCGCUCUCAUAUUACUUCAGAAUCAUCAGUAUGAGAAAACAUUGAUACCCAUUACUUUAUACUGAUAAACUCCAUGCUCCGAGACAAGGUUGCACACGUCAUCGCCGACAAUUCCCUUCUCUUCUCGAAUCAACAUAUAACCAUGUUUUUAUCUUACAAGAGAAGGGAAUCCUCGCAAUCUGCUAGAUACAACAAGGUACUUUUGUAUGACGUGCCUGAGCCAUCAAUUUGCCGGUCCUUUUCUUCCUGAAACCAACAGAGACAACACCGACUGAUUUUCCAGCACGCAAUAGCUUCCCCUCAACUUCUAUUUCUUCCUGUAAAAAUAAAAGAAAUAGUUUACGGCAUGUCAAAUAACUAUUAAAAUAACAUAAGAGUGAAAAGACAAAGGUAUGUACAAAAUUAAUCAAGCCUUAUGAUGCUAUUCUAGCAAGAAACUGGCCAAAUCUGCCCUUUGGGGGGUAGGGGUGGGGGCAAAAAUUAUGAGAAAAGAUAACGCCCAUAUGUGUGGGUGUUUGCAAACCGUCCACACGCAUGAAUCUGCGUCUGUUUGUGCUUUGCAUUAAUCUUGGUAUUUUUUGAUAGUUUUUCUGUACCACGUAGGACUGAACUGGUGUGUCGGUAUUUAACCACUUCGCCCACACGGCCGUUUCUUUCUCAGCAGGAAUCUUUUUUGGUUUUCGGUUUAAAAAUGUUUUAUCAUGACAACUUCAGUGUAACAUCAUGACAACUGUUGAAGCACCCAUUUUUUUAAAUGUAACAUCAUGGCAACUGUUGUAACAUCAUGAAAUUUUUUUAAAUGUAGAAGAAAAAAUAGGUGAAACAUAUCAUGGCAACUUCAGUGUAAACACCAUGGCAUGGCAACUACAGUGUAACAUCAUGGCAACUGUUGUCCAAAAAAAUAAUUUAUCGAAAUAUAUUGAUAUGAGAUCUAGUUUCGAAGAUCUCGUCGCGAUGGAUUUAAUGAUAAAAACGGAUCUUCAAUCGGAUUUUUCAUUUACAAGAUAAAACAUUUUAAAAACUCAAAAUCCAAAAAGAUACCCACAUGCAUACAUGUGGUUUGGGCGUUAGCUAUUUUGCCCACACUCAGGCGUGUGAGCUAUUUCUCUUACACACCACACAAGAUGUAUGGGCAACACCCCUUAACACCCAGACGUGUGGGUGUUAUCAGGACCCAAAAUUAUAACCAAGCAACCUGAAAAGUACGUUUGGAUUUUUCAGAGCAAUAUUUGGACAACAUGACAAUAACUAUGAUCCUGAACUAAUUCUAGGAACCUCUUCAGAGCAAUAUCUGAACAAGAUGACAAUAAUUCAGAUCCUAAACUUAUUCUAGGAAACAUUUUGUACCCAGCUCCAGUCUGUAUUGAGCGAGUCAAAGGAAACAAAAAAUGAAUAACACCGUGUAAAUGCAGGCGCACUGAAUUCAACCAUCUUUUCUAAUUAGUACACACUUAUAUUCCUAUAAUAUUAAAAUGACUGGACGGUAAGAAGUGGUGGACCUUUUAUCUUGCCAAUUGAGAAAUAUUCAGUCGAGUAACAGACAAAAAAGAUCUCCACAUUUGAUCUGAACCAAUGAGAAAAGAGGGUCGUGUAUUUAACAUAGGUUCUGAAGUACGAGAAGAAUGCUCACCAAUUUGUUUCAGAUUCGAACUGAAUGCAUAAUAUCUUAGAUCGCGCAACCUAAGGUAAUGCAAAGAAAUAAAAUCAUACUAUUUAGGCAAUCCAAAUAGGCAUUGUAUGUACAGAAAAAUCAAAGGCGAAAUAGCAAAACAUCCAUGAAACUAAGCCAGUCACAUGAUGAUCAUAUUAAUGUCCACCUACAGCGGCCAAGUUUAGAAACCCCAAACGAGUGAGCAGAUGAAGCCAAGAAAAAGAAACACACUGAAGGGGAUCGGGAGACAGGGCCACCUACAUCGACCAAGUUUAGAAACCCCAAACAUGUGAGCAGAUCAAGCCAAGAAAAAAAAACACGAAAGGAGAUCGGGAGACACGACGGAGACCUUGAGGCGGGAAAGAGAGAUGGAGCGGGGUCGGGCUGCUUCUUCCCCUUACCUCUGCCCUCCCCCAUCUUCCCCACAAACCCCACAGCUGCUGCGUUGCUAGGCAUGGAGGGAGAGAGGAGCAGCAAAAGCAAGGACGCGGCGAGGAGGCAAAAACAGGCGGCGGACCUCCUUCAUCUUCCUUCCCCGUACCCGCACCCCACCGUCACUGGAGCUGCUCUUUUCCGGCUCGGAUCCGUUGUCUAGGUGUGUUUAUUUAGACUAACAUAGAUACUAGUAACAUAGAUGCC